CNCNCUAACCAUGUGACCAUACCAAACUGUUGCCUCGGCGGGGUCACGCCCCGGGUGCGUCGCAGCCCCGGAACCAGGCGCCCGCCGGAGGGACCAACCAAACUCUUUUCUGUAGUCCCCUCGCGGACGUUAUUUCUUACAGCUCUGAGCAAAAAUUCAAAAUGAAUCAAAACUUUCAACAACGGAUCUCUUGGUUCUGGCAUCGAUGAAGAACGCAGCGAAAUGCGAUAAGUAAUGUGAAUUGCAGAAUUCAGUGAAUCAUCGAAUCUUUGAACGCACAUUGCGCCCGCCAGUAUUCUGGCGGGCAUGCCUGUCCGAGCGUCAUUUCAACCCUCGAACCCCUCCGGGGGGUCGGCGUUGGGGAUCGGGAACCCCUAAGACGGGAUCCCGGCCCCGAAAUACAGUGGCGGUCUCGCCGCAGCCUCUCCUGCGCAGUAGUUUGCACAACUCGCACCGGGAGCGCGGCGCGUCCACGUCCGUAAAACACCCAACUUCUGAAAUGUUGACCUCGGAUCAGGUAGGAAUACCCGCUGAACUUAAGCAUAUCAAUAA
This 552-nucleotide ribosomal RNA is filed under the name Trichoderma sp. AH-Group-10. RNAcentral describes it as "eukaryotic LSU rRNA". The stretch from base 171 to 324 matches the Rfam family "5.8S ribosomal RNA". The record is from RNAcentral. Lineage: Eukaryota; Fungi; Ascomycota; Sordariomycetes; Hypocreales; Hypocreaceae.